This 422-nucleotide long non-coding RNA is filed under the name Pan troglodytes (chimpanzee). RNAcentral describes it as "long non-coding RNA NONPTRT016038". Lineage: Eukaryota; Metazoa; Chordata; Mammalia; Primates; Hominidae. The record is from RNAcentral.
UUUGUAUAUUUCAAACUAGAAGAGAGGACUUAAAAUGUUAUCAGCCCAUAGAAAUGAUAGAUACUCGAGGUGAUAGAUACUCCAAAUAGCCUGACUUGAUCAUUACACAGUCUAUGCACGAAGAAAAUCCUCACAUGUACCCCAAAAAUAUGUAAAAUAUUAUAUAUCCAUAAAAGUCGAUGGAUGGAUGGAUGGAUGGAUGGAUGGAUGGAUGGAUGGAUACAUGGAUGGACACGUGGAUGGAUGGAUAAGUAAGUGGAUGAGUGAUAAUGAAUGGAAGAGUGAACUUUCAUUUAUGCAUAAUUAUUGAGAAGUGUGAUAUUCCAGCUAAUGUAAUACUCUGGUUUCUAUUCAACCUUCUAUUCCUAAUAUUAAUUAUUUUAAUAGGAUAAGAUAAAGUACAUUCAGCACUAAAGUGUAUC